RNA transcript from Carlito syrichta (Philippine tarsier), 2173 nucleotides. It is a transcript of the gene named dipeptidyl peptidase 8 pseudogene, with no coding region annotated. The transcript has 2 exons. Lineage: Eukaryota; Metazoa; Chordata; Mammalia; Primates; Tarsiidae. The record is from RefSeq and is a predicted model, not a curated record.
AUGUCUAUUUCUUUGAAAAUCAGUCAGAAUGUAGUUAUAUCAGUGUCCAUGUCAUUAGGAGCAGCAAAGCCUCAGCUGAACCGAAGUUUCUUUGAAUGUACAGUGGCCCACAGAUGCAGCCUAAAGAAGAGACCUGGAACUCUGCCGACGAGGCUAAAGUAUACUGUAAAUGAAUCCAAGGUGGAAAUUAUUCAUGCUACAUCCCCUAUGUUGGAAUCAAGGAGGGCAGACUCAUUCCGUUAUCCUAAAACAGGCACAGCAAGUCACUUUUAAGAUGUCAGAAAUAAUGAUUGAUGUUGAAGGAAGGAUUGUAGAUGUCAUAGACAAGGAACUAAUUCAACCUUUUGAGAUUCUAGUUGAAUAUAUAGCCAGAGUUGGAUGGGUUCCAGAGGAAAAAUAUGUUUGGUCCAUCCUACUAGAUUGUUCCCAAACUUGCCUACAGAUAGUGUUGAUCUCACCUGAAUUAUUUAUCCCCAUAGAAGAUGAUGCCAUGGAAAGGCAGAGUCUCAUUGAGUCGGUGCCUGACUCUGUGACGCCACUCAUUAUCUAUGAGGAAACAACAGACAUCUGGAUAAAUAUCCAUGACAUCUUUCAUGUUUCUCCCCAAAGUCACAAAGAUGAAACUGAAUUUAUUUUUGCCUCUGGAUGCAAAACUGGUUUCCAUCAUUUAUACAAAAUCACAUCCAUUUUAAAGGAGAGCAGAUAUAAAUGAUCCAGUGGUGGACUACCUGCCCCAAGUGAUUUUAAGUGUCCUAUCAAAGAGGAAAUAACAAUUACCAGUGGUGAAUGGAAAGUUCUUGGCCGGCAUGGAUCUAACAUCCAGGUAGAUGAAGUCAGAAGCCUGGUAUAUUUUGAAGGCACUAAACACUCCCCCUUAGAGCAUCACCUAUACUUGGUCAGUUAUGUAAAUCUUGGAGAGGUGACAAGGAUGACCAAUCGUGGCUAUUCCCAUUCUUGCUGCAUCAGUCAGCAUUGUGACUUCUUUAUACGUAAGUCUAGUAACCAGAAGAAUCCACACUGUGUGUCCCUCUACAAGCUGUCAAAUCCUGAAGAUGACCCAGCGUGCAAAACAAAGGAAUUUUGGGCCACCAUUUUGGAUUCAGCAGGUCCUCUUCCUGACUAUACCCCUCCUGAAAUUUUCUCUUUUGAAAGUACUACUGGAUUUACAUUGUGUGGGAUGCUGUACAAGCCUGAUAAUCCACAACCUGGAAAGAAAUUCCCUACUGUGCUGUUCAUAUAUGGUGGUCCUCAGGUGCAGUUAGUGAAUAAUUGGUUUAAAGGAGUCAAGUAUUUUCGCUUGAAUACCCUAGCCUCUCUGGGUUAUGUGGUUGUGGUGAUAGACAACAGGGGAUCCUGUCACCGAGGGCUUAAAUUUGAAGGUGACUUUAAAUAUAAAAUGGGUCAAAUAGAAAUUGAUGAUCAGGUGGAAAGACUUCAAUAUCUAGCUUCUCGAUAUGAUUUCAUUGACUUAGAUUGUGUGGGCAUCCAUGGCUGGUCCUAUGGAGGAUACCUCUCCUUCGUGGCAUUAAUGCAGAGGUGAGAUAUCUUCAGGGUUGCUAUUGCUGGGGCCCCAGUCACUCUGCGGAUAUUCUAUGAUACAGGAUACACAGAGCGUUACAUGGGUCACCCUGACUAGAAUGAGCAGGGCUAUUACUUAGGAUCUGUGGCCAUGCAAGCAGAAAAGCUCCCCUCUGAACCAAAUCGUUUACUACUCUUACAUGGGUUCUUGAAUGAGAAUGUCCAUUUUGCACAUACCAGUAUAUUACUGAGUUUCUUAGAGAGGGCUGGGAAGCCAUAUGAUUUACAGAUCUAUCCUCAGGAGGGACACAGCAUCAGAGUUCCUGAGUCUGGAGAACAUUAUGAACUGCAUCUUUUGCACUACCUUCAAGAAAACCUUGGAUCACGUAUUGCUGCUCUGAAAGUGAUAUAAUUUUGACCUGUGUAGAACUCUGGUAUACACUGGCUGUUUAACCAAAUGAGAAGGUUUAAUCAGUAGAAGACACAGAAUUGAUCAUUCCAUUUUGAUACCUGCCACAUAACAUCUACUCCUGAAAGUAAAUUUGGUGCCAUGCAGGCAUCUAUAGCUUGUGAAUAGUAAUCUAAUGCCUUAUCCAUACAUACACAAAAUUGAAUGAUACCUGUUUCUAAAGGUCCCAGCAAUACUAUGAGAAUU